Molecule: ribosomal RNA, 248 nt
Filed under: uncultured bacterium
Lineage: Bacteria
Description: partial 16S ribosomal RNA
Rfam family: Bacterial small subunit ribosomal RNA
Source: RNAcentral
AUACGGGGGGCGCAAGCGUUAUUCGGAAUUAUUGGGCGUAAAGGGCGCGCAGGCGGUCUUGUCCGUCAGGUGUGAAAGCUCGGGGCUCAACCCCGGAAGUGCACUUGAAACAGCAAGACUUGAAUACGGGAGAGGAAAGCGGAAUUCCUGGUGUAGAGGUGAAAUUCGUAGAUAUCAGGAGGGAACACCGAUGGCGAAGGCAGCUUUCUGGACCGAUAUUGACGCUGAGGCGCGAAGGCGUGGGUAGC